UUGUUUUCUUCAUUCUCUCUCUAGAAGAGCUGAUAAGAAUCUAAAAGAAAUGGAGCACAGUGAAGCAACCAAUUCUAACACUAACUCAUCUUCUCCUUCUUCUUCAUCUUCUCCGCCGUCGCCACCGAUGCCACCGGUGGUUAUCAGUCCUUGUGCGGCUUGUAAGAUUCUCAGGCGAAGAUGUGCUGAGAAGUGCGUUUUGGCUCCGUAUUUUCCUCCUACUGAACCGGCG
Molecule: unclassified non-coding RNA, 232 nt
Filed under: Hevea brasiliensis (rubber tree)
Lineage: Eukaryota; Viridiplantae; Streptophyta; Magnoliopsida; Malpighiales; Euphorbiaceae
Source: RNAcentral